AACAAAGAGUUCCUAAAAUGAACUAUUUACCUUGUUACUGGGAAUUUGGCCUCAGGGAUUAAAUCAUAUAUUUCUUGCCAUUCUUCAGGAAUGUUAAUAAAAUCUCGGUAAACCUUGAUUUGUAGCACUGUUCCAAUAGUGAUAUGUUGCAAAAGCUGUAAAAAUUCUCGAAGAGUAUAUCCUAACACAUUGGCAUGGCCAACACUAAUCAGAACAUCACCUGAAGAGGGAAAAAAUUAUGUAUCAGUAAAACUAGAGGUUUAAAGGGAC
RNAcentral lists this long non-coding RNA (270 nucleotides) under Homo sapiens (human). RNAcentral's name for it is "LHRI_LNC95.1". The record is from RNAcentral. Lineage: Eukaryota; Metazoa; Chordata; Mammalia; Primates; Hominidae.